CCCAUCGGUGAUGAUGAGCUUGUCUCCUACAUCACCGCCAUCCUCGACAUGGAGUACCAGCCCCUCAUCUCCACCAACGAUGCCCGCACCGAACAUCAUCCUUGAUGAUCUCUACGCCCAGAUGAGCAACUUCAAUC
This 137-nucleotide small nucleolar RNA is filed under the name Triticum aestivum (bread wheat). Its description in RNAcentral is "Small nucleolar RNA Z247". It matches the Rfam family "Small nucleolar RNA Z247". From Rfam's summary of the family: Z247 is a member of the C/D class of snoRNA which contain the C (UGAUGA) and D (CUGA) box motifs. Most of the members of the box C/D family function in directing site-specific 2'-O-methylation of substrate RNAs. RNAcentral also lists the same sequence under 1 other name. The record is from Rfam by way of RNAcentral. Lineage: Eukaryota; Viridiplantae; Streptophyta; Magnoliopsida; Poales; Poaceae.